CCCUUAGAUGUUCUGGGCCGCACGCGCGCUACACAGACGAUGGCAACGAGUUUUUCCUUCGCCGAAAGGUGUGGGUAAUCUUUUGAAACAUCGUCGUGCUGGGGAUAGAUCAUUGCAAUUUUUGAUCUUGAACGAGGAAUUCCUAGUAAGCGCGAGUCAUCAGCUCGCGUUGAUUACGUCCCUGCCCUUUGUACACACCGCCCGUCGCUACUACCGAUUGAAUGGUUUAGUGAGGACUCCUGAUUGGCGCCGCCGCCCCGGCAACGGAGCAGCGGACUGCCGAAAAGUUGUUCAAACUUGAUCAUUUAGAGGAAGUAAAAGUCGUAACA
This 329-nucleotide ribosomal RNA is filed under the name uncultured eukaryote. Its description in RNAcentral is "partial 18S ribosomal RNA". It matches the Rfam family "Eukaryotic small subunit ribosomal RNA", at positions 1470 to 1796 of the family's 1831-position model. The record is from RNAcentral.